RNAcentral lists this long non-coding RNA (943 nucleotides) under Salmo salar (Atlantic salmon). RNAcentral describes it as "lncRNA (ENSSSAG00000087347.1)". The record is from RNAcentral. Lineage: Eukaryota; Metazoa; Chordata; Actinopteri; Salmoniformes; Salmonidae.
GACAUCAUGACGCUGCCACAAAUUAAUGUUCAUGUCCAUUCUAGUAUUCUAUGAAGAGUGUCUUCUUUCAACUAAAAUAACACAAGGCCCUGAAGAUUAAUGUUUUACAACGUUUGACAUGUUUGAACGAACCUACAUGCGGGAGAAUCGCAUUUUAUCCGGAACUUCAGCCCUGCGCUUGGAGAGAGCCAUAGGACGCGCUACCAACAUCAGGCUAAUGGAACGUGAAGUAUGGACUUUUUGACCGAAAAUACAUCUGUUGUGGACCUGGGAUGCUUUUUGAUGAAGACAACUAAAGGCAGACGCCAAUACCAGUAUGGCAGAAUUCAUCAAGCAGACGGUGUUGGACGAAGCCCCAGUAAAAGGGGAUAAAAAGGUUGAGGUCCAUGUGAUUAAAAUAAGAAACCAACAUCACACAAUUCCUGAAAAAAACACCUGGAGGACCUAAACCAAAGGCUUUCUGGUAGUUUCCGAAACAUGCCACACACAAAAGAAAUGAAAAAGGGAACCUGAAUGUGGUUAAUUGCUUGUGGGGAAAUCCCAUGCACUCAAAACAGUUACACAACAACCAAAUAAGUUAUGAUCAGAUGGCUUUUCAUAAAGUAAAGAAAUAAAAGUAUGUGAGAAUAGGGUUUGCCUACAAAAUAAGGGCCGCCCAUAUGUGUUGGUAUUGUAGUUUAGCAUCCUGAUGGUGAAGGGAAAUUGUAACGCUACAGCUGUCACGCUCUGACCUAGGAGAGCUGUGUUUUCUCUGUUUAGCUAGGCCAGGGUGUGAUAGGUGGGUGGACAUUCUGUGUUUUGUUUUCUAUGUUUUGGCCGGGUAUGGUUUCCAAUCAGAGGCAGGUGUCUAUCGUUGUCUCUGAUUGGAAGCCAUACUUAGGCAGCCUGUUUUUCCUUUGGUUUUUGUGGGUAGCUGCUUUCUGAUUUGUUGUAAGUACCUGAC